Non-coding RNA from Camellia sinensis, 3154 nucleotides. The record is from RefSeq and is a predicted model, not a curated record. Lineage: Eukaryota; Viridiplantae; Streptophyta; Magnoliopsida; Ericales; Theaceae.
AUUGCUUGCUGCAAGUUCUCUUGCUCUGCCUGAAGAGUACAGGAGAUUGACGACUGAUCCAGCAUCACCAAUCCAAGAAUUCUACCCUUCUGGUUGUAUUACUUGAGUUUCAUAGUUUUCUAUUAUUUCUUUCUGAACUCCCCUCCCCCCCCCUUCCGACGCAUGAAUUUAUAGCACACUAUCUAAAUGGGCUAGUUAAUCAAAAACUUAUAUUUAUUAUAUGAAUACCAGCCACAAACACUCAAUGUGUUAGUUGGAAGCUUGUCAUUGUGAUGCUCUAAAUUAUCAAAGCCUCAAAUUAUUUUGGCAUCAUCUGACAAAUGUUGGCGUAUGAUGUAGGGCUUACUUUAGACCUAUGUUGCUGUUAGAUAGUUUAGGAUGUUGGUUUUAGCUAUAUAUUUAUAUGUGUGGAGUUUAGUGGGUUUGACAGUUUGAGAGGCACUUAGUUAUCUUGAAGGGAUGGAGGAAUGGAGUUUAUUGUUAAACUUGAGCCAUAGAUUGUUAAUUUGUGAUAGAUAUUUGGAUUUUGUAGUAUUUUUUUUUAUUACGUAUGGAGGUAAAAGAUUGUUUUGGUUUCCCUUCCAUUUUUUUGGGUUUAUCAUUUAUGUAUUCCCAAUUGUGCCAAAGAACUUUCGGAGAGUGAUGAAUUCCUUUUUUUUUUAAGCUUAGUCAUACCAAAGAAACUUUCAUCAAUUUUGAUCAUUUAGACAAUGCCACAAUUACUUCAGAUUGAUCACAGAGAUAGUUUUAUGUUCCCAUUGUCCUAAAGCUAUAGCUUAUAGUUCACUUUGGGAAAGAACAAUGUUAAUCAAUGUUAAAUGUAAUUGGCUGAUUGCUUAUUGAGACCAUCUUAGUAUUCCAUUUUUGCCAUUUAGUAUUAUGAUUUUUCUGCCUUAUCCUUGCUGACCAUUUUUCUAUCUGUUCCUGUGUUGCAAAUAGGCUAGAGAAUUUGGUUGAAACCUUGCAAGCAAACUCUUCUUCCAGUAUGUUCUUGAAUCUUAUUUGAAGAUGGCAAUCACUUGUACCGUUUCUUGGAUCAUGAUCCUAUUGUUAUGUCUCAAUGUCACAACAUUCCAAGGGUUAUAACAGAAGUAAAGCCAAAGCCGAUAAUAGAAAUUUCAUCAAGGCUUGGAUUUUGGUCGUAUGCAAUCUUUGAAGCUUAUGCAACGGAAGAUGGAAAACAUGUUGAUUACAAAAGUAUCCAUGGGAGUGAGGAAUUUGCAAGGUGGUGUUAUAUUUUCCUAAACUGAAUGGUGUCCCUUUUGUUGGGUAUAAGGGCAAUAUGGGUAUUAAAAUAUAUUAUGAGGGCAAUCUUGAAAAUUACUUAUUUAUAUCCCACAAUAUAUUUUGUAAAACAAUCACGGAUAAGAUAUAUCUAGUGUUAUAUAUUUACAUUGGUGAUGACUGAGAUGACCUUGAUCUUUGGAUUGUGACCUUGUGCUUUGCUGUUGCUUUUUCUGGAGUGUGGUCUGCAUCACUGUGAGGCUUGUUGCAUCAGUCCAUCAUCCAAUUCCUUGUUCUUCUUGGCAACAGGAUUGUAUUUCUACUCUAAGGCAUCAGAUUUGGUUUGGGAGAUGUAUGCUUUGGUCAGUGGCCUGGAUAUUGCUCUGUAUUGCUCUGUAUUCUGCUGUAUAUUGCUCUGGCUUUGCAUUGGUGUGAGGUCUGGGAUCUGUAUGCACUGGAAUCUGUUGGAAUCUGUGGGUGAUCUGAGCAGGCCAGCUGCUGUGAUGGUGCAUGUUAGUGGAAGUGGUAGUGGUUUACUGAACUGAUGGUCUGAUGCUGGACUGAUGCAGAGGGAGUUUGUUUGGUGGUUGUGGGAGUGGUCUGCUGCUGGAAUCUGAGGGUGAUCUGAGCAGGCCAGCUGCUGUGAUGGUGUAUGAUGGUGGAAGUGGUAGUGGUCUACUGAACUGAUGGUCUGAUGCUGGACUGAUGCAGUGGGAGUCUGUUUGGUGGUCGUGGGAGUGGUCUGCUGGACUGCUGCAGAGGGGAGAUUGUUUGGUGGACUGUUUUGGGUUUUUUCUAUGUAUCUGGUGGUUGUUUUCUCCUCAACCUUGUGGUGUGUUGGCAAAUGAUUGGGCUUUCCUCGCGGUGCCAACCUAGUUGGGAUCGUGAGGUUUGCUUUGAUGCCUUUUGCACUUCCUCUUCCUUUAUUUGAUGUAAUUUCAUUUUAACAAUUUUCAUCAAUAAAGGGUUGUUUUUUGCUGUUCAAAAAAAAAAAAAAAAAAAUCAAGUCAAUAAACAAGAAUUGGAGGAUAUAUUAUCUAAUAUAUAUAUCCUAUUUAUUAUAUAUCUUGACUAAAUUUCACAUCAUAUUAUAUCCUCCAUAUUAUAUCCAGUGAAACAAAUAGGACAUAGGGGGUGGUAUUGCAUAUCUUUUCCUUUUGUAUUAUAUACUAUCCGAAGCAACUAAACACGAGAUAUAGGAAGACAAAAAAAAUGUGGGACUCACCUCAUUAUAUCUGGUUCCACAUAAAAAAACAGGCCCAAGGGCUUGAGACCCUAGAAGUGCUACUUGACAUGCUCUUGAUAUGAGCUUAAGUGCCUGAAAUGUUAAGGCUAGUGCUCGACAGGUGUUUGGCCUGGGUUGAGUACAUAAGAUGUCGAAACUUAUGCUUGAUAUGAGUUCCAAGUGUUGCUAACAUACUUCAGGUCCAUUUUAUGAUCAUUUUACCUUUAAAUUGUUUAAAAAAAAAACACAUUUCAUCAUUUUUGAAAAAGAGAGAUGAUUAUAUAUAUAGUUUCACAUGGAUUGUUUCUCUACAAAUCAAAACCUUAACACAAUUUUCAUAUUCUUAUAACACCAGGGCGAUGAGUAAUAGCCGAUGAGCAACAAAAGACGUUGAAGAGGUAGAUUGAAUCAAAGAGUUUUGUGGUUGCUUUUGGAUCAACAGGGUUAAUGUCAUCAAAAUAGCUUUGGAGGGGAGAUUAAGCUUGUGGCAAACUCAAUGACAUAGGUGAAAUUGGACAAGAGUUGUAACUUUUUCAUUUUGAGUCUUGUAAUCAUUUGAUUCAUUAGUGGAUUUGUUAAGAGUCUUAGGAUCAUGGUUUUCAUCUCGCGAGAUAGUUGUUCCAUAGAAUUUGUGUUUGAUUGAAUUGCUUAAUAGAUGAAUUGAUGGAUUAAAUUGUUUAAUUUCCAUAUUGAUUGCUUGAUUAA